UGAAGCAGACUGCUCCAGCAUCCUGCGUCUGGAUGCAGUUCCAGAGUACACCAGUUUGAAUCAAGGAAGUGACUCAGCAACAACCACAACCAUCCACACACACACACACCCAAUUGAUUCAGUCUAAUCUAAUAUGACUUACUACACUAAGCAACAGGAUUUUGGCUUCAGUUGGUGUUUUUGUAUACUAAUAGUAUUAACUGUAUUAACUGAAGUUCCUUCCUUUUAUUUAAAAACAGGAAUGCUUAGGUGAAGAGAACGGCUAUUUGGGAAUGUAUAAAACCUUACAGAAGGAAAAUCAGCAACUCAAAAAAACACUAAAAGAAAAGGAUUUGAUUAUAACAAGAUUAAUGAAGAUUAUUGAAAACCAGCAUGCAGAGCUGAUAUCUGAAAUGAAAAAGCAGAAUGAGGCUGAUAUAAGGUGCAGAGAAGAAAAGAUUGCCAAGCUGAAACAAUACAUUUCUGAGACUUUCGAAGAAAAAUCCCGGUAAGAGAUUAAAAAGUAUGCAGCCUGAGAAAGAAACUGCCUCAGCUCAAGGGUGUAUCUGCUCCUAGCUUUGCAUAUGCAGCAUCGGUUUGAACAUUUACAGUAGCUAAGCCGACCAUUGUCCCAACUAGCCAGCUGCUUAGAGGGCCUCCGGUCAUGUGCACGCUGACCUGAAAAUAAGUCCCACUGUAAACAGUAAGAUGUACUGUAUUUUUUCCGUGUAUAAGACGCCCCCAUGUAUAAGACAUCCCCCCCACACUUUUCUAACCCAAAAUUAAGAAAUCUAAGUGGGGCUUAGCAAAUGUAGGGUAAAAGGAUAAAAGUGCUGCAGGAUGGCUUUGAUCCUUGUUUUCUCCCUUUGUGGAGAAAUGGAGGGGGAAAGGGAUCCAAGCAAUUCCACGACUGCACAGUCAUUUUGGAGAAAAGGAGGGGGAAAGGGAUCAAAGCAAUUCCACGACUGCACAGUCAUUUUGAUCCUUUUCCCCCUUAUAUAGCCACGGGAUUGCUUUGAUCCUUUCCACUUCUUUUUGCUAAGUCCCAUGGGACUUAGCAANNNNNNNNNNNNNNNNNNNNNNNNNNNNNNNNNNNNNNNNNNNNNNNNNNNGGGAAAGCAGGGAUCAAAGCCCUGCAGGAUCAUUUUGAUCCCUGCUUUCCCCUCCACUUGUUUUUCUCCUCAGCUUACUUGCAUUUCCCCUCUAUUUUUAGUCUAAAGAUUUUAGACAAAAAUAUAGUCUUAUACAUGGAAAAAUACGGGAUUUCUGAGGAGGGCAUGUGUAAUAUCAUAGAAUAAGUUGCAUAGAAGCCAGCUGAGGAAGGCAUGUGUUAUAUCAUAGAAUAAGUUGCAUAGAAGCCAGCGGGAUUGAAUCAGAUUUACUCUGUGCAUGACUGCAAGCUUGGUUGGGUUGUGAGUUGGAGAUGCAAACGUAGGCUUCAUUCCGAAAGGAGUAAAUCUCAAGUUCAAUUGAAGAAAUAUCACCUGCCCUCUUCAGUUGGGGAAGCCUCAAAGAUGGUAUUACUCUUGGAACUAACUAUUCCCACAAAUUACACGACCGGAGUAUCUUAAGUACAUUGGCAUUAACUGAAUUAACAGAAACAAUUGGCACACCUCUUAAACAAAUAGUUGAACUGCAGGAGGCCUACCAGAUCAUGGUAAGUGUUCAGGGUGUGCUGAUCGUGUCAUGUUUUUGCUAUGGGAGAACAACCUCUUGUUGGACCAUCUUUUCUCUUUCCAGCGAACAUCAACAGCAGAUAGAUGAACUGAUGAGAGAAAUAAAUAAAUUCAUGGAGAUGUCA
This 1780-nucleotide long non-coding RNA is filed under the name Pogona vitticeps (central bearded dragon). RNAcentral's name for it is "lncRNA (ENSPVIG00000010498.1)". The record is from RNAcentral. Lineage: Eukaryota; Metazoa; Chordata; Lepidosauria; Squamata; Agamidae.